UACGUAGGGUGCGAACGUUAAUCGGAAUUACUGGGCGUAAAGCGCGCGUAGGCGGCUUUGCAAGUCGGGUGUGAAAUCCCCGGGCUCAACCUGGGAAUGGCAUUUGGGACUGCAAGGCUCGAGUUUGGCAGAGGAGACUGGAAUUCCUGGUGUAGCAGUGAAAUGCGUAGAUAUUAGGAGGAACACCGGUGGCGAAGGCGCCGCUCUGGGCCGAAACUGACGCUGAGGAGCGAAAGCAUGGGUAGCAAACAGG
RNAcentral lists this ribosomal RNA (253 nucleotides) under uncultured bacterium. RNAcentral describes it as "partial 16S ribosomal RNA". It matches the Rfam family "Bacterial small subunit ribosomal RNA", at positions 524 to 776 of the family's 1533-position model. The record is from RNAcentral.